Long non-coding RNA from Suricata suricatta (meerkat), 1331 nucleotides. RefSeq lists it as uncharacterized. NCBI's taxonomy places the organism in Eukaryota, Metazoa, Chordata, Mammalia, Carnivora, Herpestidae. The record is from RefSeq and is a predicted model, not a curated record. The transcript has 2 exons.
CAAAGGGGCAGGGCGGUGCUCGGCGUGCAGGUGAAAGGUCUACCCCCCUCCCUCUGGCAAAAGGCAGGCGUCCAGCCGCAGACACACAAACCCCCUCGGGCUCUCGGAGCCGCCCCCAGCCCGCGCCUCCCGCCCUCUCCGGGGGGAGUCUGGGCUCCGAGGCCGAACCGAUCCUCCGGCGCCCGGCGCUCGCGGCUGGAGGCGCCGACUCCGGAAGGGGGAAGGGGAGGCCCCUUCCCGCCCCUGCCGCCUCCAGCCCCUUCGCGGUCUUCCCUGCAGGCCCUUCCUGGAUCCCUUUCCUUUUCCGGUCUGCGCAUCCCCUUCCCGGCUCGGGUCCACAGACUCCUAGUCCCUGCUACCCCUCUGGCCCCAAGCUCUUGAUCCCCCUCACCUCUAAAAGCCUUUUUUGGGGGGGAAAAAAAAGCAAACGCCCAACACACUCUGAAGGACCCGCCCCGUCCGCACCCGCGCCCCGCCCGUCGCCACCUUCAAGUUCACAGUAGGCAGCUCCAUCCCGACAUAGGCGGAGGGCACCGGCGCCGCGGCCGCGGGGGCUCCUGGGCUCCGAACUCCCGAAGCAAACUUGCCUCGCCCCGCCCCGCCCGCUUCGGCCACUCCACCUCCAGCUGUGCUACGGGCCACGUGAGGCGGCCACGUGAUCCACUCCCGGUUGCCAGGAGACGGCGUCGGGCGGCUCCCGCCCUCCUCCAGGUUUCCAGUUCAGGCUGCCUCCGAGGCAGUUCCCGCCGGCGGUUGGAGAAUGCUGGGAUUUGCUUCGCAGGGGGCGUCAGAUCUCGCUUGGAUCGCCUGGAUCGAGGGGACGACCUGCGGCCAAACAAUUUGGGGGAACGUCCUGGUGCCAAGAGCCGGUGUCUCGUCUCUGAGGGCACCGUGUUUCCUCCCUGUUUCCCAGUGUCAAAGUGGAGACAUUGACAAUACCCACCUCAUGAGGUUUAAUGGACUCGUCCAUGUUGAUAAUGAAACAAUUAUUCGGACACUUUAUGAAGCCUAAGGAAGACUGUUGCCAUCAGGGUAUCUCAAUGGGGAAACGUGGAGAAGCUUCCCUCCCGGGACAGCAAGGACCGGCACAAUGGGAGGCGUCAGUGGACAGAGAAUACCUAGAAGGGACAUCAAGAGUAGGGAGAUUCUUGCUAAACUGACCCAACAGGAUUCUUGUUAAAGGCAGGCCAGGACACCAAAGGCCUCGGACACCUGAGAACACCUAAGAGGCGUCAGAUCGCAAGCACCUUCCAGGACAUCCGCUUCGAACAAACCUCGGCCGACGCUGACUCCCUUCAGCGAUUUAUAAAACAGCACCUGGUAUUCCCCCA